GUCCCGCAACGAGCGCAACCCUUGCCUUUAGUUGCCAGCAGUUCGGCUGGGCACUCUAAAGGGACUGCCGGUGUUAAACCGGAGGAAGGUGGGGAUGACGUCAAGUCCUCAUGGCCCUUUAUGACCAGGGCUACACACGUACUACAAUGGCCGAUACAAAGGGCAGCGACACUGCGAGGUGAAGCCAAUCCCGUAAAAUCGGUCUCAGUCCGGAUUGGAGUCUGCAACUCGACUCCAUGAGGUUGGAAUCGCUAGUAAUCGUGGAUCAGCAUGCCACGGUGAAUACGUUCCCGGUCCUU
Molecule: ribosomal RNA, 299 nt
Filed under: uncultured Desulfobulbus sp.
Lineage: Bacteria; Pseudomonadati; Thermodesulfobacteriota; Desulfobulbia; Desulfobulbales; Desulfobulbaceae
Description: partial 16S ribosomal RNA
Rfam family: Bacterial small subunit ribosomal RNA
Source: RNAcentral